Macrobrachium nipponense is the source of this 1362-nucleotide long non-coding RNA. RefSeq lists it as uncharacterized. The transcript is spliced from 2 exons. NCBI's taxonomy places the organism in Eukaryota, Metazoa, Arthropoda, Malacostraca, Decapoda, Palaemonidae. The record is from RefSeq and is a predicted model, not a curated record.
UUCCUUUAUAUAUGGUUUGGUAUCUGUUUAGAUUGGACGGGAAUUCUCUGAUACAUUUUCACCGGCAGACACAGGUCGAACCCAGAAAAGGGAUUUUGACGAAGGAAAAAUCUAUUUCUGGGGGAGGACCUGUGUCGCCCAGUGAACCCAGCCCCCUUUUUCCUCCUCUCCUUCUCUGUUUUUCCCACCCUUAACCAGUCCAAGCUUGGUGUCUAUUCCAGGAAUGGAGGACGCGCGUGGGUAUUAGUAGUAGUAGUAGUAGCGAGAGGGUGACGCAUGUAACGGCUCCCACCGUAGAGAGAAUUUGAGAAGGAAUCUUCUAAUUGGCAGAGGAGUUGUGGCUUCCACUUCGCCCCUACUAUACUAUACCGACGCCCCCCUGGGGUGCUCGCGCUGAGGGUAGUAACUUCAGCAUACCAAUGCUAACUUUUUCUCUGGUAUAUUUAGGAUCUAUUUAUACUUAGAAAAAUGAGCUACAGGGAUUUUUCACCGGGCGACACAGGUCCUCCCCCAGAAAUACAUUUUUCCUUCGUCAAAAUCCCUUUUUAAAAUGUUCUCCUGGUGUAGUUGUAGUAUCUUUGGAUUGAUUGUAAUUUUCAAUAUUCAUUUUUUUCCCUUAGGUGGGGUUCAUUCUAGUAUUCUUUUCUUUUUGUCCGUUUGAUUAUUAUUAUUUGACUCCUCUUCCACUGUAAGUUCUUUUCCAUGGAUAUCUGAUUCUUCUAUGUUAUUAGUGGUACUGGUGGAUAUAUCAACAUGCUUGUUUUGGGGUUCAGCAUUAUUGAUAUGAGAAUUAGUUUCGUACCUUUAUAUUGUCUUGUUGUUUGUUAUUGAUGUGAUCGAUAUUUAGAUUUUUCGUUACAUUUGUGUACAAAACAUUUCAUAUUUUCACAUGGCGACAGGAAAGACUAGUGAUUAUUAAGACUUUGGUAUUUUAAUUGCCCUACUCUUGGUACCAUCAAACUGUCUUUCCUGCUGCCCAAUAUUUAAAGAUGGGUAGUUUGCUAACUCCUCCUCCUUCCAUAUGCUUUGGUUGAGUGAAAACGGUGACGAGGAGCGAGGCAGCCCGGCAGUCGGGAAGAGCAGGGACCUCACUCACCUGGGAAGGUUCAUACCAUUUUGAUUCGUCCAAUAUGCCUGUCUUAGGCUAAAGGCUUAUAUUGGGAUCCCUGGUCUACGUCACCCUCUUGUGAACAUUUGCCAAAAUCCAUCUGCAACACCUUUGUGCAUGGUACGACAAUGACAGCGAGCGAAGCUGAACGAAGGAAACAUCCUACGAUCUACAUGAAUUGCCUUGUUCUCCCGUAAAUUGUUUGUAACUACGUUAUUUUAAAGGCUUAUUUAUGUAAUAAAUAUCACAUUUAA